GGAGGGUGCAAGCGUUGUCGGAAUUAUUGGGCGUAAAGCGCGUGCAGGCGGUUGGGUAAGUCAGAUGUGAAAGCCUUCCGCUCAACCUGGGAAGUGCAUUUGAAACUACUUGACUUGAGUACGGGAGAGGACGGGGGAAUUCCCGGUGUAGAGGUGAAAUUCGUAGAUAUCGGGAGGAAUACCGGCGGCGAAGGCGGCCCCCUGGACCAACACUGACACUGAGGUGCGAAAGCGUGGGUAGCAAACAGGAUUAGAUACCCUGGUAGUCCACGCCGUAAACGAUGUCAACUAGCCGUUGGAUCCGCUUUAAGGGUUUAGUGGCGCAGCUAACGCGAUAAGUUGACCGCCUGGGGAGUACGGCCGCAAGGUUA
Molecule: ribosomal RNA, 371 nt
Filed under: uncultured bacterium
Lineage: Bacteria
Description: bacterial SSU rRNA
Rfam family: Bacterial small subunit ribosomal RNA
Source: RNAcentral